AAAAUCAAUGUUCGUUUCAGGCUGCAGACUUUCAUGAGCUCCACUGAAGUGAAAUGUAAACCUGCCAAUGGUGAAUUGUGACAACCCCUCUUGUCCAGUAAAUGCAAAAUCCUUCAUCAACUGGACAAGAGGGAGCUUAUUUGAAUUGCAUGGAGACAGAUUCACACAGUAAUACCAUGUAGCAGUAAUAUUGGUAAGGAUGGUGAAGCACUACAAAGGAUGCCUGUGGAGAACAUACCACCUCCAUCACUGAAGGUCUGUAGGAGCAGUUUAGGAAAAAUAUCUGUUGUGGAUAUUAAAAUUGAUCCUUCUGUGGGUAGAGAGGUGGACUACACGACUUCUUAAUGGUGUUUCCAGGGUUAUUCUGCAAGCAUUUUAUGAGCUCUUGAAUAUCAAUAAAUAAAUAUUUGAUUGCAGGUAGCAGCAAAGGAGGUGGAGUUAUGGGGCAAAUCCCACAGAGCCUUCGGGACAGAAAUUCAUGUGCUGCUUCGUUUCAUGUCAGGACUGCGCAGUGCGAACGGCAAAACAUUUCCAAGUCUGCACUAGGACUCGUUUAUAAUCAAAAUGUCUUUGACUUGACAAUGGUUAAUGAUGCUUUGAUAUAGGUUGAUUGCUGGUGAGGGGCGGACGAGGCUCCCCGGGGCACUGUGCUGACGCAGGAGCGAAAACAGGGGAUUAAUUGAUGUUUUCAUACUUGAGGUGCUCCGUGUUUGGUACCUCCCCUCUCCCCCCAGCUUAGAUUUAAUACCACAUUGCACCGCAGGGACCUGACGGAGAUUUCUGGCCGUGAUAGCUCUAUUGCACCAAGCCGCUGCCUCGCUCCCCACCUGGCCAGGCGCUGCUGCUGCUCUUUUCGUCACAUCGCCGGCUGAGUCACCGGGUGACGGAUGGCACUGAGGAACAUUUCCUGGAGACACGGCGGAGCCCCCGCCGAGCAGGCUCCUGUCACCGCUGUCUGUCCCCACGCUGAAUUAAAGAUGGGAAGAAAGGAAGGGCUGUGCUCCCCCGCGUCUCUGCGGCUUAAUCUUGAAUGUAAUCAAGCCAGACCUUCAGAAAGCAGGAAUUAUUGCACAUAUCACCAGGAGGCACCUGUGGAGCGAUGCUGCAGGACAAGAGGGACAGUCAUCGCCUGCUUCACCACAGUGGGAGUGAGCAUUAGUACUGCCAGCCUGAUGGCUCGGGGGGGCUGCAGACCUCCGGAGCCCUCCCUGGUGUGAGCAGCCGUGCUGGCACCGACGUCCAUCUGCUGAGGUGGCACUUUGCCCUGCUCUCAAGCCUGCGGUGCCAGCUCUGACGAGACGUAGGUGCUAAUCAAACACAGAUUUCAGUGGGGCAGGGAGGAGAGGAGGAAAUGGCAUUUUAUCAUCAGACAGCCUUCUGUGCCAGACCAAACACUAUGCAUCAUUGCGAAGGAACUGUCGCUUGGCAUCUUACAUGAAAAAAACACCCUAUUAGCUGAAAAACACCCUUCUCCUCUUAACAGGCAGAUGGAAAUUGUGUAUCAAUGUUAUUAACAGGGCAGCAUUGCUUUCAGUUCAGAUCUAUACUCACCCUGGCCUUGGGUCCCUUGAGAUGUAACCUAAGCUGUAUGAAUCAGAAGGUGCAAGGGCAUUCUGCUGCUUAUCUUCUGCUCCAGGGCUGGGGUUUGUUUUCUCUAUGCUGGCUGGAAAAAAAAAA
Long non-coding RNA from Cygnus olor (mute swan), 1677 nucleotides. RefSeq lists it as uncharacterized. Lineage: Eukaryota; Metazoa; Chordata; Aves; Anseriformes; Anatidae. The record is from RefSeq and is a predicted model, not a curated record. The transcript has 3 exons.